GCUGACGAGCGGCGGACGGGUGAGUAAUGCAUAGGAAUCUGCCCGAUAGUGGGGGAUAACCUGGGGAAACCCAGGCUAAUACCGCAUACGUCCUACGGGAGAAAGGGGGCUCCGGCUCCCGCUAUGGGAUGAGCCUAUGUCGGAUUAGCUAGUUGGUGAGGUAACGGCUCACCAAGGCCACGAUCCGUAGCUGGUCUGAGAGGAUGAUCAGCCACAUCGGGACUGAGACACGGCCCGAACUCCUACGGGAGGCAGCAGUGGGGAAUAUUGGACAAUGGGGGAAACCCUGAUCCAGCCAUGCCGCGUGUGUGAAGAAGGCCCUCGGGUUGUAAAGCACUUUCAGCGAGGAAGAACGCCUAGCGGUUAAUACCCGCUAGGAAAGACAUCACUCGCAGAAGAAGCACCGGCUAACUCCGUGCCAGCAGCCGCGGUAAUACGGAGGGUGCAAGCGUUAAUCGGAAUUACUGGGCGUAAAGCGCGCGUAGGUGGCUUGAUAAGCCGGUUGUGAAAGCCCCGGGCUCAACCUGGGAACGGCAUCCGGAACUGUCAAGCUAGAGUGCAGGAGAGGAAGGU
This 573-nucleotide ribosomal RNA is filed under the name Vreelandella aquamarina. Its description in RNAcentral is "bacterial SSU rRNA". It matches the Rfam family "Bacterial small subunit ribosomal RNA", at positions 87 to 662 of the family's 1533-position model. The record is from RNAcentral. Lineage: Bacteria; Pseudomonadati; Pseudomonadota; Gammaproteobacteria; Oceanospirillales; Halomonadaceae.